This 797-nucleotide ribosomal RNA is filed under the name Erioscyphella aseptata. RNAcentral's name for it is "partial large subunit ribosomal RNA". It matches the Rfam family "Eukaryotic large subunit ribosomal RNA", at positions 95 to 909 of the family's 3401-position model. The record is from RNAcentral. Lineage: Eukaryota; Fungi; Ascomycota; Leotiomycetes; Helotiales; Lachnaceae.
GAAGCGGUAACAGCUCAAAUUUGAAAUCUGGCUCUUUCAGGGUCCGAGUUGUAAUUUGUAGAAGAUGCUUUGGGUGUGGCUCCAGUCUAAGUUCCUUGGAACAGGACGUCAUAGAGGGUGAGAAUCCCGUAUGUGAUUGGUGGCUUUCGCCCGUGUAAAGCUCUUUCGACGAGUCGAGUUGUUUGGGAAUGCAGCUCAAAAUGGGUGGUAAAUUUCAUCUAAAGCUAAAUACUGGCCAGAGACCGAUAGCGCACAAGUAGAGUGAUCGAAAGAUGAAAAGCACUUUGGAAAGAGAGUUAAACAGUACGUGAAAUUGUUGAAAGGGAAGCGUUGGCAACCAGACUCGUAUGCCGCUAAUCAUCCGGGGUUCUCCCCGGUGCACUUGGUGGUUUUCGGGCCAGCAUCGGUUUCGGUGGUGGGAUAAAGGCCUUGGGAAUGUAGCUUCUCUCGGGGAGUGUUAUAGCCCUCGGUGCAAUGCCGCCUACUGGGACCGAGGACCGCGCUUCGGCUAGGAUGCUGGCGUAAUGGUUGUCAACGGCCCGUCUUGAAACACGGACCAAGGAGUCUAACAUCUAUGCGAGUAUUUGGGUGUCAAACCCAUAUGCGUAAUGAAAGUGAACGGAGGUAAGAGCCCUUCAGGGUGCAUUAUCGACCGAUCCUGAUGUCUUCGGAUGGAUUUGAGUAAGAGCAUAGCUGUUGGGACCCGAAAGAUGGUGAACUAUGCCUGAAUAGGGUGAAGCCAGAGGAAACUCUGGUGGAGGCUCGCAGCGGUUCUGACGUGCAAAUCGAUCGUCAAA